GAUGAACGCUAGCGGCAGGCCUAACACAUGCAAGUCGAGGGAGAAGCCUUUCGGGGCAGAAACCGGCGCACGGGUGCGUAACGCGUAUGCAACCUACCUUUCACAGGGGGAUAGCCCGAAGAAAUUUGGAUUAAUACCCCAUAAUAUUGUUGGAUGGCAUCAUCUGAUAAUUAAAACUGAGGUGGUGAAAGAUGGGCAUGCGUCCUAUUAGCUAGUUGGAGUGGUAACGGCACCCCAAGGCUACGAUAGGUAGGGGUCCUGAGAGGGAGAUCCCCCACACUGGUACUGAGACAGGGACCAGACUCCUACGGGAGGCAGCAGUGAGGAAUAUUGGUCAAUGGUCGGAAGACUGAACCAGCCAUGCCGCGUGCAGGAAGAAUGCCUUAUGGGUUGUAAACUGCUUUUAUAUGGGAAGAAUAAGGUGUACGUGUACAUUGANGACGNUNCCA
This 449-nucleotide ribosomal RNA is filed under the name uncultured bacterium. RNAcentral's name for it is "bacterial SSU rRNA". It matches the Rfam family "Bacterial small subunit ribosomal RNA", at positions 28 to 480 of the family's 1533-position model. The record is from RNAcentral.